ACCAGUUCCAUUAGAAAAACGAGCGUUAUACAUGAUCCAAGUAUCCAACCAGUUUCAGGGUUUCAGUGUUCAAAAUACAUCAGUUUUAUCUAUAUAUAAUCAAAUGAUCUGCUCGACUAUUAGAAUCACAGCCUCACAGAAUACAGAUACAUCUUAAAUCCUAAGCUUUCCAUAUCAGAGUUUUUGUUUGAUUUUAGAGUUUUAAUUUUAAUCUGCAUGUAGCACCCCGGGCUUCUCUGAAAAUACAAAUUGGAUGAAGAAGAAAGCCCCAAUGCUCGUGCUAAAUCAGAUAUACAGCCGUCAAGUGUUGCAGUUCAGCCUUUUUGUACCUUUUUCCAUGGCCGUUUCUGUGUCAAAUCGACGGCUACAGAUAAUCAAUCAAGUUCAUAGCUUUAUCAAUUUCAUAUGUUCUGCCUCACCACACCUUAAGCCUUCUUCCUUAAUUUCUAUUGGAAAGAGGUCUAGUCAUGGAGGCAUAUAGUUAACCCUAGGCGGCGUUAACGUGGAGAUUUUAAAUAAGACGAUGAUGAUAUAAUCCAAAUGUUGGAGGAAUAGGGGAUCCAAGACCUUGUUUUACAGGGAGAACCACUUGGUGAAGCUGUAUUUCAGAUGAUAUUACCGGAUUUAACUGAGGUGCUAUGUAUUUUUUAUGACCAAUCUUAUUAAUAUUUGAUUCAUUUAAUUCGAUAUGAUUUAUUGAGUUUUAACUAUACUCUUUGCCUUAAUAUUCAACGGUUUGGAGUCUGAAAAAACUCAUAGAGCAUUGUGUUGUCAUCAGCUUCUUCUUUCGUAACAUUAACGAGAUUGGAGUUAAAUAACAGCACUAGAUUUUUAGAAAAAAAUGUCUACUACGAUGCUACCUACAUCGUGGGUUUUGUUUUUAUUCUUUAAAUGGAAUUUGUGUGCUUUUUUGUUAUUUUGUUGAAUCAGCAGUCUCUUUAUUUUUAAAUAUGACUCUUGUUGAUCAUUAAUGGAAUUUGUUUUUAUAGCAAAAAAAUGUAGCAAAAUUUGAUAAGUAGAGAACGUGAAUCAAAAUCAGUUGGCAUGAGAGUGGUCUGAGAACAUUUGAUGUAGGAUACUGGAAGUGGAAUACAUGCUGCGAUGUGAAUGGAUGAAAGAAAUAACGUUAUUGCCAUUUGUUGAUAAAUGUUCUGCUGACAACUUUAUGUGGCGUAGUUUAGUUGCGCUACGUGUUAUCGUGUAUGUGUCAAGGAUAUAAGGUCAUGUGAGAUGCAAAAGUUCCAACAAUUUUGACAUGAAUAUUGUGAAGUAGGUUGAUGAAUAAUGAUACAAACAGGUAAUAUGUAAUGAAAAAAAAUCCCUGAUUACGUAAUGUGUCAUCUAAAAUGUUUAAACUUUGUGAUUGUUGAAUGUUUAUAAAAUGUCUAUGUCAAAACAUGAGUUUUAUUGAAAUUGUUUUAUAAUGGUUCUA
Long non-coding RNA from Lactuca sativa (garden lettuce), 1432 nucleotides. RefSeq lists it as uncharacterized. Lineage: Eukaryota; Viridiplantae; Streptophyta; Magnoliopsida; Asterales; Asteraceae. The record is from RefSeq and is a predicted model, not a curated record.